GUUACACCAAAAAAGAAAAAUUUAAGCACGGCUCUGAUGAAAACAAUGAUAUUAUAUACAGUACUAUAUAGAUGACCCAAGUAGACAGAAGUAUACAGAAAUAUAAAGUAAAUAUUUAUUUUAAAUAUUAGUUGUUCAUUGACUAAAAAGAAAGAGAAAGUGAAAGAAGAUAAAGAAAAUCGCUAAGUCUAAGUUUAAGUUUACAAAAAAAAAAAAAAAAAAAAAAAAAAAAAAAAAAAAAAAAAAAAAAAAAAAAAAAAAAAAAAAAAAAAAAAAAAAAAAAAAAACCGCUAAGUCUAGAUAUUUUAUUGCAUGUAAUUGAGCCAAAAGUAAACGAUAGAGAAAAGGAGAGUCUUACCUUUAGUGUCUGCGAAAGGCAGAGUCUCUCUUUA
RNAcentral lists this long non-coding RNA (392 nucleotides) under Brassica napus (rape). RNAcentral describes it as "long non-coding RNA (BNAP_LNC021728)". Lineage: Eukaryota; Viridiplantae; Streptophyta; Magnoliopsida; Brassicales; Brassicaceae. The record is from RNAcentral.